AUAGCUCAGUCGGUAAAGCGCAAGGCUUUUAACCUUGUGGUCGGGGGUUCGAGCCCCCCU
This 60-nucleotide transfer RNA is filed under the name Dictyostelium discoideum. It matches the Rfam family "tRNA", at positions 7 to 64 of the family's 71-position model. Rfam says of the family: Transfer RNA (tRNA) molecules are approximately 80 nucleotides in length. Lineage: Eukaryota; Evosea; Eumycetozoa; Dictyosteliales; Dictyosteliaceae. The record is from Rfam by way of RNAcentral.